RNAcentral lists this long non-coding RNA (941 nucleotides) under Salvia miltiorrhiza (redroot sage). Its description in RNAcentral is "long non-coding RNA (SMIL_LNC003451)". The record is from RNAcentral. Lineage: Eukaryota; Viridiplantae; Streptophyta; Magnoliopsida; Lamiales; Lamiaceae.
CGUUUUCUGUUGUAAUCUGUAAUCUGGAAAUUCAACACGGACAAUGGUACUGUGCACGAAGAACGAAGAUUGCUGGAGCUAUCUGUCCAGAUUCCGGCGAGCCUCUGCCCGAAGGAGAACGGAUGCCGAUCCAAACUUUCCGGGCGACCAGCGGGAGCCCGGCACCGGAAUCAGGCUGUCGCUGCCGCGCCUCUGGCGGGCGUCGCCGUUUCUGACGCGCACUAGGCCGUCUGAAUCGCAUCUCCUUCUGUUUUGGCUGAAUUUCAGCCGCUGCCAGAUCCGCUCAACGGCGUCGAGGGUUGGGGUCGCUCCGGCAACCCCUACCUGCUCGACGACCGUGCAACGAGGGUAGAUGGUAGGGCAGAUGGCGGAGCCAUGAGUCGCGGCGGUGGUGGCGACUGGCUUGACCGGCGGCGCAGAUUGAGUUUUGAUGGGGUGCAGGCGCGGGUCGGAGAGGAGGCUCACCGGAGCAGCCGCGAUGGCUGACGACGGCGCCUGAUUUCGGCGUGUGCUGGUGCUGCUCGACGUUUGUGCUGCGUGGCGGGGAAGAGGCUGUGCAGCGGCGCUCUGGCGGCGCGCAACCCUAGGCGGCGCUUGGUUCUCUGCAAGCCCUAGCAGAUGAACAGUGUCUGCGUUUUGGGCUGCUGAACGGGCCUAGGCGACUGGACCGCGAUUUUGGGCCGAUUGCUUGGGCCUAAGAUCAGGCCUGGGCGGUGUUCUCUUCAUGGGCUGAGUUUGAGGGCUUCUAUCAGCCCAAAUUUCGAGCUCUUGGCUGUUUUUCAGCCUAUUUUUUUCUUUUCUAUUGUUUUAAUGUAAUAGAUUAGAAAUUGGGAUUCCACGAAUGGGCCGCGAAGAAUUUUUCUUUAUUGUUCUCAGCAUGUCGUGGGAUUUUAUCACCGUUAUGGUGUUUUGAGCAUGAUUUUUAUUUGCUUUAUGUGAAU